UUGCAGAGAAGCUUGCUUCUCUUGAGAGCGGCGGACGGGUGAGUAAAGCCUAGGAAUCUGCCUGGUAGUGGGGGAUAACGUUCGGAAACGGACGCUAAUACCGCAUACGUCCUACGGGAGAAAGCAGGGGACCUUCGGGCCUUGCGCUAUCAGAUGAGCCUAGGUCGGAUUAGCUAGUUGGUGAGGUAAUGGCUCACCAAGGCGACGAUCCGUAACUGGUCUGAGAGGAUGAUCAGUCACACUGGAACUGAGACACGGUCCAGACUCCUACGGGAGGCAGCAGUGGGGAAUAUUGGACAAUGGGCGAAAGCCUGAUCCAGCCAUGCCGCGUGUGUGAAGAAGGUCUUCGGAUUGUAAAGCACUUUAAGUUGGGAGGAAGGGCAUUAACCUAAUACGUUAGUGUUUUGACGUUACCGACAGAAUAAGCA
Molecule: ribosomal RNA, 428 nt
Filed under: uncultured Pseudomonas sp.
Lineage: Bacteria; Pseudomonadati; Pseudomonadota; Gammaproteobacteria; Pseudomonadales; Pseudomonadaceae
Description: bacterial SSU rRNA
Rfam family: Bacterial small subunit ribosomal RNA
Source: RNAcentral